This 446-nucleotide ribosomal RNA is filed under the name uncultured bacterium. RNAcentral describes it as "bacterial SSU rRNA". It matches the Rfam family "Bacterial small subunit ribosomal RNA", at positions 329 to 792 of the family's 1533-position model. The record is from RNAcentral.
CUCCAGACUCCUACGGGAGGCAGCAGUGGGGAAUAUUGCGCAAUGGGCGAAAGCCUGACGCAGCGACGCCGCGUGAGGGAAGACGGUCUUCGGAUUGUAAACCUCUGUCUUUGGGGAAGAAAAUGACGGUACCUGAAGAAGAAGCCCCGGCUAACUACGUGCCAGCAGCCGCGGUAAUACGUAGGGGGCAAGCGUUAUCCGGAUUUACUGGGUGUAAAGGGGGCGCAGACGGCGAUGCAAGCCAGGAGUGAAAGCCCGGGGCCCAACCCCGGGACUGCUCUUGGAACUGCGUGGCUGGAGUGCAGGAGGGGCAGGCGGAAUUCCUGGUGUAGCGGUGAAAUGCGUAGAUAUCAGGAGGAACACCGGUGGCGAAGGCGGCCUGCUGGACUGCAACUGACGUUGAGGCCCGAAAGCGUGGGGAGCAAACAGGAUUAGAUACCCGGGUA